Molecule: transfer RNA, 72 nt
Filed under: Bos taurus (domestic cattle)
Lineage: Eukaryota; Metazoa; Chordata; Mammalia; Artiodactyla; Bovidae
Also listed under: 4 other names
Rfam family: tRNA
About the family: Transfer RNA (tRNA) molecules are approximately 80 nucleotides in length. Their secondary structure includes four short double-helical elements and three loops (D, anti-codon, and T loops).
Source: Rfam by way of RNAcentral
UCCCUGGUGGCUCAGACGGUAAAGUGUCUGCCUGUAAUGCAGGAGACCCAGGUUCGAUCCCUGGGUUGGGAA